UACGGAGGGUGCAAACGUUGCUCGGAAUCAUUGGGCGUAAAGCGCACGUAGGCGGACUGUUAAGUCGGAUGUGAAAUCCCUCAGCUUAACUGAGGAAGUGCACUCGAAACUGGCAGUCUUGAGUAUGGAAGGGGGUCGCGGAAUUCCCGGUGUAGAGGUGAAAUUCGUAGAUAUCGGGAGGAACACCAGUGGCGAAGGCGGCGAUCUGGGAAGAUACUGACGCUGAGGUGCGAAAGCGUGGGGAGCAAACAGG
This 253-nucleotide ribosomal RNA is filed under the name uncultured bacterium. Its description in RNAcentral is "partial 16S ribosomal RNA". It matches the Rfam family "Bacterial small subunit ribosomal RNA", at positions 524 to 776 of the family's 1533-position model. The record is from RNAcentral.